Molecule: transfer RNA, 73 nt
Filed under: Desulfotalea psychrophila LSv54
Lineage: Bacteria; Pseudomonadati; Thermodesulfobacteriota; Desulfobulbia; Desulfobulbales; Desulfocapsaceae
Rfam family: tRNA
About the family: Transfer RNA (tRNA) molecules are approximately 80 nucleotides in length. Their secondary structure includes four short double-helical elements and three loops (D, anti-codon, and T loops). Further hydrogen bonds mediate the characteristic L-shaped molecular structure. tRNAs have two regions of fundamental functional importance: the anti-codon, which is responsible for specific mRNA codon recognition, and the 3' end, to which the tRNAs corresponding amino acid is attached (by aminoacyl-tRNA synthetases). tRNAs cope with the degeneracy of the genetic code in two manners: having more than one tRNA (with a specific anti-codon) for a particular amino acid; and 'wobble' base-pairing, i.e. permitting non-standard base-pairing at the 3rd anti-codon position.
Source: Rfam by way of RNAcentral
GCCCACAUAGCUCAGUUGGUAGAGCGCAUCCUUGGUAAGGAUGAGGUCACCGGUUCGACUCCGGUUGUGGGCU